GCCUUAGCUUGGUGAUAGAGCACCUGCUUUGCAUGCAGAAGGCCCACAGGUUCAAUCCCUGGCAUCUCCA
Molecule: non-coding RNA, 70 nt
Organism: Podarcis lilfordi (Lilford's wall lizard)
Lineage: Eukaryota; Metazoa; Chordata; Lepidosauria; Squamata; Lacertidae
Source: the annotation of a GenBank genome assembly